This 465-nucleotide ribosomal RNA is filed under the name Vreelandella stevensii. Its description in RNAcentral is "partial 16S ribosomal RNA". It matches the Rfam family "Bacterial small subunit ribosomal RNA", at positions 338 to 795 of the family's 1533-position model. Lineage: Bacteria; Pseudomonadati; Pseudomonadota; Gammaproteobacteria; Oceanospirillales; Halomonadaceae. The record is from RNAcentral.
CCUACGGGUGGCUGCAGUGGGGAAUAUUGGACAAUGGGCGAAAGCCUGAUCCAGCCAUGCCGCGUGUGUGAAGAAGGCCUUCGGGUUGUAAAGCACUUUCAGUGGGGAAGAAAGCCUUGGGGCUAAUACCCUCGAGGAAGGACAUCACCCACAGAAGAAGCACCGGCUAACUCCGUGCCAGCAGCCGCGGUAAUACGGAGGGUGCGAGCGUUAAUCGGAAUUACUGGGCGUAAAGCGCGCGUAGGCGGUCUGAUAAGCCGGUUGUGAAAGCCCCGGGCUCAACCUGGGAACGGCAUCCGGAACUGUCAGGCUAGAGUGCAGGAGAGGAAGGUAGAAUUCCCGGUGUAGCGGUGAAAUGCGUAGAGAUCGGGAGGAAUACCAGUGGCGAAGGCGGCCUUCUGGACUGACACUGACGCUGAGGUGUGAAAGCGUGGGUAGCAAACAGGAUUAGAUACCCUGGUAGUC